ACGCUCGACACCUACGGGAGGCAGCAGUGGGGAAUAUUGCACAAUGGGGGAAACCCUGAUGCAGCGACGCCGCGUGAGCGAAGAAGUAUUUCGGUAUGUAAAGCUCUAUCAGCAGGGAAGAAACUGACGGUACCUGACUAAGAAGCACCGGCUAAAUACGUCCCAGCAGCCGCGGUAAUCUGAGCGGGCUGGCAAGGC
This 198-nucleotide ribosomal RNA is filed under the name uncultured bacterium. Its description in RNAcentral is "partial 16S ribosomal RNA". It matches the Rfam family "Bacterial small subunit ribosomal RNA", at positions 328 to 539 of the family's 1533-position model. The record is from RNAcentral.